AUACCAGGCAAGGAAAUGAAAUCUGCAUCCCAAGGAAAAGAUCCGUUUCCAAAACUGUUAAUCUUUCCUUAUGACAUACUUUGGAAUACAAAUGUAUCCAGAGGGGGUUUAUUCAACAAUAUGUUGUGUUCAUCUGCUCUUGGUUUUUCUUAUGGCCCCACCCGGUGAUACUUGGAACUCAAACGGAUACAUCCAUUCAUGAAUUAUGUAAUCAUCUUUCACUCCAGUCGGUAGCUGAGCCCUCCAUUUCCUUCUCUCACAAUCUACAUCUAUGCAACCUGGAUGCUGAAGUUCCAGCAAUCACCUUUUACAGAAUCCUGUACCUACUCUUU
Molecule: long non-coding RNA, 332 nt
Organism: Alligator sinensis (Chinese alligator)
Lineage: Eukaryota; Metazoa; Chordata; Crocodylia; Alligatoridae
Exons: 3
Source: RefSeq, a predicted model, not a curated record